GACGAACCGAGCGAACGUUAUUCGGAAUCACUGGGCUUAAAGGGCGCGUAGGCGGGCGAUCAAGUCAAGGGUGAAAGCCUCCAGCUCAACUGGAGAAGUGCCUCUGAUACUGGUCGCCUCGAGGGAGAUAGGGGCGUGCGGAACUUCCGGUGGAGCGGUGAAAUGCGUAGAUAUCGGAAGGAACACCGGUGGCGAAAGCGGCGCGCUGGAUCUCUACUGACGCUGAGGCGCGAAAGCCAGGGGAGCAAACGGG
Molecule: ribosomal RNA, 253 nt
Filed under: uncultured bacterium
Lineage: Bacteria
Description: partial 16S ribosomal RNA
Rfam family: Bacterial small subunit ribosomal RNA
Source: RNAcentral